CGACGAGUCGAGUUGUUUGGGAAUGCAGCUCAAAAUGGGUGGUAANUUUCAUCUAAAGCUAAAUACUGGCUGGAGACCGAUAGCGCACAAGUAGAGUGAUCGAAAGAUGAAAAGCACUUUGGAAAGAGAGUCAAACAGUACGUGAAAUUGUUGAAAGGGAAGCGCUUGCAACCAGACCUGUCCGUAGGUGAUCAGCCGCCGUUCUCGGUGGUGCACUCGCCUACGAUCAGGCCAGCAUCGGUUCGGGCGGUCGGAUAAAGGCCUUGGGAAUGUAGCUCCUCUCAAGGAGUCUUAUAGCCCUCGGUGCAAUGCGGCCAACCCGGACCGAGGACCGCGCUUCGGCUAGGAUGCUGGCGUAAUGGUUGUAAGCGACCCGUCUUGAAACACGGACCAAGGAGUCUAACAUCUAUGCGAGUGUUUGGGUGUCAAACCCAUACGCGGAAUGAAAGUGAACGGAGGUGAGAACCCUUUAGGGCGCAUCAUCGACCGAUCCAGAUGUCUUCGGAUGGAUUUGAGUAUAAGCAUAGCUGUUGGGACCCGAAAGAUGGUGAACUAUGCCUGAAUAGGGUGAAGCCAGAGGAAACUCUGGUGGAGGCUCGCAGCGGU
This 606-nucleotide ribosomal RNA is filed under the name Protoparmelia aff. badia B GS-2015. RNAcentral describes it as "eukaryotic LSU rRNA". It matches the Rfam family "Eukaryotic large subunit ribosomal RNA", at positions 258 to 884 of the family's 3401-position model. The record is from RNAcentral. Lineage: Eukaryota; Fungi; Ascomycota; Lecanoromycetes; Lecanorales; Parmeliaceae.